ACCCCCAGGCCAUGGCCCUGGUGCAACCAGAGCAGUCACCAGCCAUCUGUGGGCCAGGUCCCUCCACCAUAAGGAGUGGCAACAUGGUUCUGACCUCUCUAUGCCCAUCUCACAGUGUGUUCCAUGUUCCAGAGCCCAUGACUCCCCCCAAGGUCUUCCCACUGAACCUCCCAUGGUGCCAGUCCGGAGAACCUGUGAUCCUCGGCUGCCUGAUCAAGGAUUUCUUCCCCCCGGGACCUGUGAGCGUGACCUGGAGCAAGCCUGGGGAACAAGUAGACUUCCCACCUUCCUUGACUAAGGAGGGGAACCGGUACAUCAUGAGCAGCCAGCUGAGCCUGGAAGCCAAGUUCCCAGAGGACACGAACGUCACAUGCACUGUGCAACAUGCCACAAAUGACCCCAUAGUAGUAGAAGUGUCAAGCUCAGCAGAAACUCCACCAACACCACCACCAGAUUGUUCAUGCUGCCAGCCCAGCCUGUCACUGCAGGGGCCAGGCCUUGAGGACCUGCUCCUAGGCUCUGAAGCCUACCUAACAUGCACAUUGAGUGGCCUGAAGAACAACCAGGAAGCCACCUUCUCCUGGGAGCCCACGGGUGGGAAUACCGCCACACAGAACCCUGUUGAUCCUGACUCCUGUGGCUGCUACCGUGUGUUCAGUGUGCUGCCUGGCUGUGUCGAACUCUGGAACAGUGGGCAGACCUUCACCUGCACGGCCACCCACCCUGACUUCAAAGGCACCAAGACCGCCACCAUCAAAAAGCCCGAAGAGAACUUCCGGCCCCAGGUCCAUCUCCUGCCGCCGCCGUCGCAAGAGCUGGAUCUGAAUGAGCUGGUGUCACUGACAUGUCUGGUGCGGGGCUUCAGCCCUAAGGACGUGCUGGUUCGCUGGCUGCAUGGGAGCCAAGAGCUGCCCCGCAGCAGCUACCUGGUGUGGGAUCCACUGAAGGAGCCCAACGAGGGUCCCACCACCUAUGCUGUGACCAGUGUGCUGCGGGUGACAGCCACGGACUGGAAGCAGGGGGACAACUUCUCUUGCACGGUGGGCCACCAGUCCCUGCCCCUGCUCUUCACCCAGAAGACCAUUGACCACCACUCGGGUAAACCCACCCAUGUCAACGUGUCUGUGAUCAUGUCGGAGGCAGAUGGCACUUGCUAUUGAGCCUCCCUGCCCACCCUGCCCUUUCAAUAAACACCAUGCUCACCCACUACAGCCCACACUUCCAUCUG
Molecule: non-coding RNA, 1228 nt
Organism: Heterocephalus glaber (naked mole-rat)
Lineage: Eukaryota; Metazoa; Chordata; Mammalia; Rodentia; Bathyergidae
Source: the annotation of a RefSeq genome assembly